CUGAAUAAUGUAGCUUUUUGUUUGAUGAAGAGGGACUAAGGCACUGCGGGAAAGUGCGAGAACAUAGUAUUGAGGAUGUGAAAUGUGAGACAAUCAGGAGCAAUACGAGAAGAGGAAUUCAAUCGGUGAGCAACCCUGGGGAAGCUAAUGAGAAAAGAGCAGUCAGAUGCUACUUGUGGUACAAGAGGCAGCGAAGGGGAAACAUAUACCCAAGCAAAGUAGAUUAUGCAAAACGAAGACAGAUAAAGAAGACUAAUGGUCCAGGAUGAAAGAGCAAGCACAGCAAGGGGGCCAUCUGUGUGUGGGAGCCACGUCUGGACCAUACUGCCUACCUGCGAGCACGCCUAAUGGCGCCGACGCUUAACUGCUGCGAUUUGCUUGACUGCGGUGUUUACACAAACAGUGCAUGGCUGAGCAACACUACAGCUGUAUCUCUAUGCCUUUCUUAAUAGUCCCUAAUACUAGAAUAGCACUGUUUUUGUAGCCAUGCAUUUGAUUUAUGAGCAGUGCUAUAGAUUUAUGUUGCUGUUUUUAAAUGUCUGUGCUCAGCAAAAGAAAAUAACCACCCUAUAUAAUAUUGUAAUUCUAAUCCAUCAGACACACACAUACAAAAGUAACAGGCAGGCUUCACUCUGAAUGUGACCAUACCAAGCAGAAAAAGCUUCUUGAAAUGUUUUUCCAUUGGUAUCAUGACAUAUAAAUCACUGGCAUUUGUCUAAGGGAUUCACACCCCAUUGUGGAUUCAUCAUAAGGGUUCUUUAUGGAUUUUGAUAAUAAACAUUGGGGAGAGAUUAUGUUAUUGUCAAGGAAGUACGACAGUAGCAUUUUAUUAGUAUUAUGUUUUCAGUCCAUUUUGGCCUUCCAAUCAUUACAUCACCAAAGUAAUUAACAAUACCUUGAUUUGAUUAAGUUUAAUUAAAACUUAGGGUACAUACUACAACCGUUAGACCACAGCAACGGUGAUGCAAAUUUUGUUAGCUUGUCUGUAGUGUUUUGUAUUGUGUGUUAGCAUUAGCCUAGUGGACCUUCGUGUAUGCCAUUUUAAAGAUAAUAUACAAUGCAUAAUACUCUUCCUUUUAUGUUUUGUUUGAGAAACCAACUGGAAAAUAAACAGCUUGAAGCAAGGACAUUCACCCACCCAUCUAGUCAAUCUCAGUCACAGGUGUACUGGAGUCUAUCCAAGCUGACUUUGGGCGAGAGGCAGGGUAAACCCUGGCCUGGUUAUUAUCAUAUUUCCAAUUCAUAUGUUAUUAUAUUCCAAGCUAUCUGAUUACAUGCAUGUUUCUACUUUUAACGCUAUGGGGCUUUCAGCCAGUCAUAUUUAAACUGGGCCUUGUGGGAAAACAAAAAUAUAAUUAUGUUGUCUGAACCAUGUCAUGUGUGCAGCCACUCUACAGAGUCCACCCUUGAAGCACUGAAAGUAGAUAUAUAAUGCAUUCAGUGAUUCAAUAUUGCGGUGUCAGAAGCUUGGGGAUCAAGCUUGAGGAAAGACAUUAAAUAUUAGUUUUCUUUUGCAAAAGAAUGUGGUAUCUCAUUCAUGCUGCUAAGUAAUGUAUGCGUCAUGUAAUUCUUAUGACUGUGGCUCCACUUGAAAGUAUGGUGGAGCUUCACACUUUUGUAAUUAUUGUCAUAUGUGUAAUUUUCUUCCAGCUCAACUGUGCAGAAGUAUCACUCACAACAAAGCCUAUACUUUAUGGAAGUACCAUACACCUUACCACAUAGCUUAACUGUUGUCUAUAUUGGAUGAUGGGUUCAGAAAAUGGCGCGUUGCAAAUGCCACUAUCACAGAUAGUAUAUGUAUAAACCAGGUUAAUGGCAGUUAGGAAAACUAACAAAAUAACUCAAACUAAAUGACAAUGCGGGAGCAAGAACAGGGAUUCCACAAGGGGAAUCCUGGAGGUCGUGGGUGUACUGACCUUAUGUCUCCCGUGUCACCUAUAUAAAAAUAUUUUAAUGUGAAAUAUUAUAUUUUAUAUCAUAUAUUUAACUGAUCAAUGUUACUUAGUUAUAUCAAAACUUUGCAUCCUAUAUGACUCACUUGUGCGGUAUAUACAGUAUUUACUUGAUGUUUUGCAUCACAUGACCACAUUUGUGCAAUUAUUUUUUGUUACAAGAAAAUAAAAAGUAAUUUACA
Molecule: long non-coding RNA, 2134 nt
Organism: Syngnathus acus (greater pipefish)
Lineage: Eukaryota; Metazoa; Chordata; Actinopteri; Syngnathiformes; Syngnathidae
Exons: 2
Source: RefSeq, a predicted model, not a curated record